AAAAUCCGUUGGCUUUAUUG
This 20-nucleotide transfer RNA is filed under the name Diobelonella palustris. RNAcentral's name for it is "partial tRNA-Leu". Lineage: Eukaryota; Viridiplantae; Streptophyta; Bryopsida; Dicranales; Dicranaceae. The record is from RNAcentral.